Molecule: ribosomal RNA, 441 nt
Filed under: Capnocytophaga gingivalis
Lineage: Bacteria; Pseudomonadati; Bacteroidota; Flavobacteriia; Flavobacteriales; Flavobacteriaceae
Description: bacterial SSU rRNA
Rfam family: Bacterial small subunit ribosomal RNA
Source: RNAcentral
GAUGAACGCUAGCGGCAGGCCUAACACAUGCAAGUCGAGGGAGAAGCCCUUUCGGGGGCAGAAACCGGCGCACGGGUGCGUAACGCGUAUGCAACCUACCUUUCACAGGGGGAUAGCCCGAAGAAAUUUGGAUUAAUACCCCAUAAUAUUAUUGGAUGGCAUCAUUUGAUAAUUAAAACUGCGGUGGUGAAAGAUGGGCAUGCGUCCUAUUAGCUAGUUGGAGUGGUAACGGCACCCCAAGGCUACGAUAGGUAGGGGUCCUGAGAGGGAGAUCCCCCACACUGGUACUGAGACAGGGACCAGACUCCUACGGGAGGCAGCAGUGAGGAAUAUUGGUCAAUGGUCGGAAGACUGAACCCAGCCAUGCCGCGUGCAGGAAAGAAAUGCCCUUUAUGGGGUUGUAAAACUGCUUUUAUAUGGGAAAGAAUAAAGGGCGUAACG